AUAUCUAGGUUUGGAAUAUGAUCUUGUUGAACUUGAUGAGAACAACAAGAAUUUGAUCACCUAUAUGGAUGUCAUGUAGAGGUUCAACUCUGAUUAAUGACUUGGAGCUAUAAAGUCUGAAAUGAAAUCCAUGAAGAUCAACGAUGUAUGUGCACUCGUUGAUCCACUCGAAGGGGUAAAAUCUAUAGGGUGUAAAUAGAUCUUCAAUA
RNAcentral lists this long non-coding RNA (209 nucleotides) under Elaeis guineensis (African oil palm). RNAcentral's name for it is "long non-coding RNA (EGUI_LNC064714)". Lineage: Eukaryota; Viridiplantae; Streptophyta; Magnoliopsida; Arecales; Arecaceae. The record is from RNAcentral.